GACGAACGCUGGCGGCGUGCUUAACACAUGCAAGUCAAACGAAGAGCGAUGGAAGCUUGCUUCUAUCAAUCUUAGUGGCGAACGGGUGAGUAACGCGUAAUCAACCUGCCCUUCAGAGGGGGACAACAGUUGGAAACGACUGCUAAUACCGCAUACGAUCUAAUCUCGGCAUCGAGGAUAGAUGAAAGGUGGCCUCUACAUGUAAGCUAUCACUGAAGGAGGGGAUUGCGUCUGAUUAGCUAGUUGGAGGGGUAACGGCCCACCAAGGCGAUGAUCAGUAGCCGGUCUGAGAGGAUGAACGGCCACAUUGGGACUGAGACACGGCCCAGACUCCUACGGGAGGCAGCAGUGGGGAAUCUUCCGCAAUGGACGAAAGUCUGACGGAGCAACGCCGCGUGAGUGAUGACGGCCUUCGGGUUGUAAAGCUCUGUUAAUCGGGACGAAAGGCCUUCUUGCGAAUAGUGAGAAGGAUUGACGGUACCGGAAUAGAAAGCCACGGCUAACUACGUG
RNAcentral lists this ribosomal RNA (510 nucleotides) under uncultured bacterium. RNAcentral describes it as "partial 16S ribosomal RNA". It matches the Rfam family "Bacterial small subunit ribosomal RNA", at positions 28 to 507 of the family's 1533-position model. The record is from RNAcentral.